This 116-nucleotide ribosomal RNA is filed under the name Planococcus glaciei. The record is from RNAcentral. Lineage: Bacteria; Bacillati; Bacillota; Bacilli; Caryophanales; Caryophanaceae. RNAcentral also lists the same sequence under 3 other names.
UCCAGUGACGAUGGCAAAGAGGCCACACCCGUUCCCAUCCCGAACACGGAAGUUAAGCUCUUUUGCGCCGAUGGUAGUUGGGGGUUUCCCCCUGUGAGAGUAGGACGUCGCUGGUC